GACGAGCGCUGGCGGCGUGCUUAACACAUGCAAGUCGAACGGAAAGGCCCUGCUUUUGUGGGGUGCUCGAGUGGCGAACGGGUGAGUAACACGUGAGUAACCUGCCCUUGACUUUGGGAUAACUUCAGGAAACUGGGGCUAAUACCGGAUAGGAGCUCCUGCUGCAUGGUGGGGGUUGGAAAGUUUCGGCGGUUGGGGAUGGACUCGCGGCUUAUCAGCUUGUUGGUGGGGUAGUGGCUUACCAAGGCUUUGACGGGUAGCCGGCCUGAGAGGGUGACCGGCCACAUUGGGACUGAGAUACGGCCCAGACUCCUACGGGAGGCAGCAGUGGGGAAUAUUGCACAAUGGGCGGAAGCCUGAUGCAGCAACGCCGCGUGCGGGAUGACGGCCUUCGGGUUGUAAACCGCUUUCGCCUGUGACGAAGCGUGAGUGACGGUAAUGGUAAAGAAGCACCGGCUAACUACGUG
RNAcentral lists this ribosomal RNA (467 nucleotides) under uncultured bacterium. RNAcentral's name for it is "partial 16S ribosomal RNA". It matches the Rfam family "Bacterial small subunit ribosomal RNA", at positions 28 to 507 of the family's 1533-position model. The record is from RNAcentral.